RNAcentral lists this ribosomal RNA (254 nucleotides) under uncultured bacterium. RNAcentral's name for it is "partial 16S ribosomal RNA". It matches the Rfam family "Bacterial small subunit ribosomal RNA", at positions 524 to 776 of the family's 1533-position model. The record is from RNAcentral.
UACGUAGGGUGCAAGCGUUGUCCGGAAUUAUUGGGCGUAAAGAGCUCGUAGGCGGUUCGUCACGUCGGCUGUGAAAUCCCGAGGCUCAACCUCGGGUCUGCAGUCGAUACGGGCGGACUUGAGUACUGCAGGGGAGACUGGAAUUCCUGGUGUAGCGGUGAAAUGCGCAGAUAUCAGGAGGAACACCGGUGGCGAAGGCGGGUCUCUGAGCAGUAACUGACGCUGAGGAGCGAAAGCGUGGGGGAGCGAACAGG